AUUGAACGCUGGCGGCGUGCCUAACACAUGCAAGUCGAGCGGUAACAGGUGUAGCAAUACAUGCUGACGAGCGGCGAACGGGUGAGUAAUGCUUUGGAAUCUUCCCAGUAGUGGGGGAUAACCAGUCGAAAGAUUGGCUAAUACCGCAUACGUCUGUAAAGGGAAAGCGGGGGCUCGUAAGACCUCGCGCUAUUGGAUGAGCCAAAGUCGGAUUAGCUAGUUGGUGGGGUAAUGGCCUACCAAGGCGACAAUCCGUAGCUGGUCUGAGAGGACGACCAGCCACACCGGAACUGAGACACGGUCCGGACUCCUACGGGAGGCAGCAGUGGGGAAUAUUGGACAAUGGGGGAAACCCUGAUCCAGCGACGCCGCGUGUGUGAAGAAGGCCUGCGGGUUGUAAAGCACUUUUAGUGGGGACAAAAAGCUACGGAUUAAUACUCUGUGGUCUUGAUUUAACCCAAAGAAAAAGCACCGGCUAACUCUGUGCCAGCAGCCGCGGUAAUACAGAGGGUGCGAGCGUUAAUCGGAAUUACUGGGCGUAAAGCGCGCGUAGACGGUUUUGUAAGUCAGAUGUGAAAUCCCUGGGCUCAACCUGGGAACUGCAUU
This 606-nucleotide ribosomal RNA is filed under the name uncultured bacterium. RNAcentral describes it as "bacterial SSU rRNA". It matches the Rfam family "Bacterial small subunit ribosomal RNA", at positions 28 to 627 of the family's 1533-position model. The record is from RNAcentral.